This is a long non-coding RNA of Nothoprocta perdicaria, 133 nucleotides long. RefSeq lists it as uncharacterized. The transcript is spliced from 2 exons. NCBI's taxonomy places the organism in Eukaryota, Metazoa, Chordata, Aves, Tinamiformes, Tinamidae. The record is from RefSeq and is a predicted model, not a curated record.
CGCCGGACGAGGUGACACGGGACACGGCCACAAGGGACAACGUGACGCGGCACACGGUGACGCGGGACACGGUGACGCGGGACACGGUGGCGAAGGACAAGCCCUUCCCGCACAGGGACCAGCUGCCACCCCC